CGGCUUACACAUGCAAGUCGAACGGUAACAUCUGGUGCUUGCACCAGAUGACGAGUGGCGCACGGGUGCGUAACGCGUAUGCAAUCUACCUUUUACUGAAGAAUAGCCCAGAGAAAUUUGGAAUAAUCCUUCAUAACAUCAUUUAUCAGCAUUGAUUUAUGAUUAAAGCUCCGGCGGUAAAAGAUGAGCAUGCGUCCUAUUAGUUUGUUGGUGAGGUAACGGCUCACCAAGACUACGAUAGGUAGGGGCCCUGAGAGGGGGAUCCCCCACACUGGUACUGAGACACGGACCAGACUCCUACGGGAGGCAGCAGUGAGGAAUAUUGGACAAUGGAGGCAACUCUGAUCCAGCCAUGCCGCGUGCAGGAUGACUGCCCUAUGGGUUGUAAACUGCUUUUAUAUAGGAAGAAACACUCCCACGUGUGGGGGCUUGACGGUACUAUAUGAAUAAGGAUCGGCUAACUCCGUGCCAGCAGCCGCGGUAAUACGGAGGAUCCAAGCGUUAUCCGGAAUCAUUGGGUUUAAAGGGUCCGCAGGCGGCCUGUUAAGUCAGAGGUGAAAGCCAACAGCUCAACUGUUGAACUGCCUUUGAUACUGAUAGGCUAGAGUUAUUGUGAAGUGGUUAGAAUGUGUGGUGUAGCGGUGAAACGCUUAGAUAUCACACAGAAUACCCAUUGC
Molecule: ribosomal RNA, 677 nt
Filed under: uncultured Bacteroidota bacterium
Lineage: Bacteria; Pseudomonadati; Bacteroidota
Description: bacterial SSU rRNA
Rfam family: Bacterial small subunit ribosomal RNA
Source: RNAcentral